RNAcentral lists this transfer RNA (73 nucleotides) under Planctomycetota bacterium. Its description in RNAcentral is "Planctomycetes bacterium (freshwater metagenome) tRNA-Val". It matches the Rfam family "tRNA". From Rfam's summary of the family: Transfer RNA (tRNA) molecules are approximately 80 nucleotides in length. The record is from RNAcentral. Lineage: Bacteria; Pseudomonadati; Planctomycetota.
AGCCCUGUGGCCCAGCGGCAACGGCAGCUCCCCUACAAGGAGACGAUCGGGGGUUCGAGUCCCUCCAGGGCUA